UUUCUACAAGAAGCUUGAGAUCACAGCUGACUGUGUUCCUGAUGCAUUCACCAAACCCUUUUCCAUCUGUGGCCCUCCCUGGCUCUGUCACCAGCCCUCGCACCCUCCUGAUCACAGGAGUCACAAACCUCAGACAUGCAGCUCCUGUCCACACUUAAUAUAUGCAUGCAUUGGAUCACCCAGCCCUGGUCUUUCUGCCUCCCUGGAUAACUGCAUGACCCUGAGAGGGAACCUCCUUAGAUUUAGCAUCCUAGGUUCCUCACACGCCUCACCCUGAAUCCUGGCCCUCCCGCAGCCCCAGUGCCAUUUGUCCCAUCAGUGACCAGAUUCAUAUUCUGGUGUAGGCUCUGUUGCCGGAGCCAGUGCUGAGCCAGUCCGCCUCUUCCUCGAGAAGUGCCCGCCCUUCCCUCCUGUUAGGGUUGGCUCUCGAGCUUGUGUGCCAGUUGCUGGGUUGGCCGUGAGAGUUCUACAGACAAGGGGGAAGUACUCUUGGUGUAUUUCCUGUGGUGGGUUCACACGCAGCUAGACACAGCUAACUUGAGUCUUGGAGCUCCUAGAGGGGAGCUUCUGGAAAGGAAGGCUCUUCAGGACCUCUUGGGAGCCAGGUAGGAGUCUGGGACUACUAGUGAACCUAGACCUGUGGCUCUGGCCAGAGGGGCUAGGAUGAGAGACGGAGGGCAUUAUGGCGGUUGCUGGGAGAUGCAGCUGACCUUGGGGCUGGUGACUCGGGGGGUGGGGAGCCUGGGAAAGGCCAGGAUGUGGAUGGGCUGGUAUGGCAUUGAGCCUGAACUGGUCCAACUUGGGGUUCCCCAGUGCCUAGGAAAGUUGUCCCCUUGAAUGUCAGUGUGAAGGUGAAGGAGGAAGCAGAUGCCUGUUCAUAUGGAAACAAAGACCUGGCUGUGAAGAGGGGAGGCGGACACCAAAGUCAUGACACUUGGGUGGGACAGAAUUGAUCUGUGAGAGACUCAUCUAGUUCACGCCCUAGGUGACCCUGGGGGUGGUAUGGGGGUAGAUUAGAGAUCCCAGACUGGUAUCAUCUGGAGAGUAGGAGUCCCAGGAGCUGAAGGUUUCUAGCCACUGAAGUUUGGCUGAAGCAGGUGUGUCACAGCUGCUCAGGAUUCCCUGGUUAAAAAGUGAAAGUGAAAUAGAGGGUGGGGGCAGUGCUUUCCCAGAAGGAUUGCUCGGCAUCCUGCCCUUCCCAGAAGCAGCUCUGGUGCUGGAGAGAGCACUGCCUCCCUGUGUGACUGGGUGAGUCCAUAUUCUCUCUUUGGGUCUCAAUUUUGCCUUCCCUAAUGAAGGGGUAAGAUUAUACUAGGUAAGCAUCUGAUAACCAUUUGUAGUCAUGAGAGCUGGGGUGGGGAAGGUUUGUCACUUGACCCCCCAGCUCUGUUUCUAAGUGCUGAAAGAGCUCCAGGCUAUGCUACGGGAGGAAAAGCCAGCUACUGAGAAAAAGCGGGAGUGGUUUACCAUUCUCCUCCCCCACCUUUCACCAGAGAAGAGGACGUUGUCACAGAUAAAGAGCCAGGCUCACCAGCUCCUGACGUAUGCAUCAUGACCAUGAGACACAACUGGACACCAGACCUCAGCCCUUUGUGGGUCCUGCUCCUGUGUGUCCACAUCGACACUCUCCUGGUCAGAGCCACACCUGUCUCGCAGACCACCACAGCUGCCACUGCCUCAGUUAGAAGCACAAAGGACCCCUGCCCCUCCCAGCCCCCAGUGUUCCCAGCAGCUAAGCAGUGUCCAGCAUUGGAAGUGACCUGGCCAGAGGUGGAAGUACCACUGAAUGGAACGCUGACCUUAUCCUGUAUGGCCUGCAGCCGAUUCCCCAACUUCAGCAUCCUCUACUGGCUGGGCAAUGGUUCCUUCAUUGAGCACCUCCCAGGCCGGCUGUGGGAGGGGAGAACCAGCCGGGAACAUGGGAGCACAGGUAUGCAGCUGUGCAAGGCCUUGGUGCUGGAGCAGCUGACCCCUGCCCUGCACAGCACCAACUUUUCCUGUGUGCUCGUGGACCCUGGACAGGUUGUCCAGCAUCACGUCGUCCUGGCCCAGCUCUGGGCUGGGCUGAGGACAACCUUGCCCCCCACCCAAGAAGCCCUGCCCUCCAGCCACAGCAGCCCACAGCAGCAGGGUUAAGACUCAGCACAGGGCCAGCAGCAGCACGACCUUGACCAGAGCUUGGGUCCUGUCUACCUGGAGUGAACAGUCCCUGACUGCCUGCAGGCUGUGUGGAUGAGCAACACACCCCCUCCUUCUCUGCUUUGGGUCCCUUCUAUCACCAAAUUCAAACUCCAUUGCCACCUACCUAGAAAAUCGCAGCUUCCUUAUAAUGCCGCCGCCUCCUGCCAUUCUCUCUCCACCUACCCAUUAGCCUUCCUAACGUCCUAAUCCUCACACUGCUCUACUGCUCAGAAACCACCAAGACUGUUGAUGCCUUAGCCUUGCACUCCAGGGCCCUACCUACAUUUCCCACAUGACUUUCUGGACGCCUCCAACUAUUCUUGCUUUUCCCAGACAGCUCCCACUCCCAUGUCUCUGCUCAUUUAGUCCCGUCUUCCUCACCGCCCCAGCAGGGGAACGCUCAAGCCUGGUUGAAAUGCCGCCUCUUCAAUGAAGUCAUCCUCUUUCAGCUCUGGCCACAUUCUGCAGACUUCAUGUCUUCAUGCUGAGCAGAGGCCACUAAUGGAAAGUGGGAAGAGCCUGGAAAGAUGUGGCCCCAGGAAAAGGGAGAGAAAGGAGGUGGUCUGGAAGACUCAGCGGGAACAAGAUCCAGAGGCUAAGGAAGACUGGCCAGGCCCAAGGACCCAGCCAUCAAAACCAGCCUCAAAUCUGGUUGUGAUGGAGAAGUGACUUUGCUUUAAGAAAAAAGGAGGCAAGGUAGGGAGAGCGCCCACACUGUCCAUGCUCCAGGCCCCCUGGGCCAGCUCUGAGAAGGCGCCAGUGAAGGUCCAGGGACCAGAUCACGGUACGGGUAGGCAUCACUGUCUCUAGAGGUUUGGCUACUGUUGGCCUGGGAGCUAAGAGAAGGCACUGAGAGGGACAGUAGGCGGAGGACCAGGUGAAGUCAGCAUCGGGGACACAGGUGGGGCCACUCACUGGUACUGGCCCUUUAGUGCUUUGCCUGAAAGAGACACCGUCACAUGGCCAGAUGAGAACUUGCGAUACCAGCCUGCACCCACUGGCUCGAAGAUCUCUUCCUGCUCCCACACCCCUGUCUGGAUCCCUUCCCUUGUGAGCCCCAGGGUUAUCAGUUGCUGGCUGUGCCUGAGCAGCUCUGGGUGCUCUCCAUGAGAAUGGGGCCAUCUGUCCUGUCUUCUCUCCUUGGAGAGAAGCUACCAGGACAGGGCCACCUCUUACCCCGCACCCUCCAGCAGCCUGGCAUGGCCCCGUCUUGGAUGCUACUCGGUGGGGCGGUCUGGGGGGUGCCCAUGCUCUCAUCGGGUUUCCCUCCCCCAUCCUGCCAGUGCCUCUACCUUGCCCUUGGCUCGAGGGGUGGCAGUGGUGGCAGCAAUGGCAGCAGCAGUGGCAGCGCUGGCUGUGGUGGUGGCAAUGCGUGGAGAACGGCGGGUUCCGCUGCGAGUGUUGGGGGAAGCCUUGGACAGGGCCUUCUUUGAGGCUCCCCGCCGCAGAAGGCUGUUCCCUAGCUUCUUGGGUGUGUUGAGGAUGCUGAAGGCCAUCGACUGGCGCCGGUCAGCCUGCAAGGAAGGGCUGUCAGACCGGGAGACCCUGCCUUCCCAGGCCAGCCUGCUGUGCCAUGCUCUGCCAGCAAGGUCCUGCCAGGGCGUCGCUUCAUCCCCUCUCAGCCCCAGCCUCACCUGUUUAGUAGAAGCUGGAGCCGCUUUCUUCUGGGCCUCAGUAGUGCUCUGUUUGCGCCCUUCAUGUCGGUCUCGGGGAGUCAUGGGGCGUGGGAAACAGCUGGUGGCCUUCUUAGACUAUGGGGAAGAGGACAGUUAGGCAGACAGUAGCAAGAAGAGUCACAUCUGAAGCCAGGCAUCUUGUCCUCUCAGAGCUGAGUGGACCUUUUAAGUCAACUUGUGCAACCUGCUCCCCUUCCUAACUGUGGGCCAGAGCCUUCCCUUCCCAACAGUUCCCACCCAUGGGUCAGGCCCUUGGAGGGAGGGAAGGAGUCGGGGAAGUGAGGGAAGGAGAGAGAAGGCUCCCUUUAGUCCUUGGCGGGCUGGGCCUGACCUGGGCACAGGGCUGGAGCAACACCCAGGAGCCACCGCGCCUACCUCAGGAGUUCCAGGGCCCUGGUGGGGCUCUAGGGAGACCCGUUUGCGCUGCUGCCGGGUGGUGAUGCCAGUGCCCUCGGCUAUCUGGAUUGGCUGUAUGCUGGCUCGGCGCAGGGUCUCCUGGGGGUCUCCGGUUUUCAUCUCCUCAUCUGUGAUGGUGCCCAGGCUCAGGGAAGGCUGCAUGGGUGGAAGAGGCAGUCAGUGGACCGUAGGUGUAUGGAGAUGGAGGAGGACCUGGGGCUGUUCCAGAACUCUGCACUCACCCGACAUGUACGGGGCUUGCUCACCACCUUCUCCCUGGAGAGGGCAGAAGAGGUCACACGCAGAGGCUGCUACUAUAUCUUAUUCACCCGCCAAGGCUUGGUGCCUGACACCCAGAGGAACAAAUUAAGGACCAGGAAUUAAUUCCCAGGGGCUCCCUGGUACCCAAAGGACAAAAGCUUCCAAGAAGAGUCUGGCCAGCCUGGCCUUUCCAGCAGCCCAUCACUGCCUGAGAAGGGCACGGAGGACUCCCCACAGCUAAGUGUCACAAUUGUGCUGGGAAUCCCGGGCCCUUAACUCUGGCCAAGAGUGCCCCCAACACAGCCAGCCCCUAGAUGGGCAGGUAAGGAAGGCCCUGAGGCUGCAAGAAGGAGGGGCAGGUGGAGCUGGACAGUAGCAAGGAGGCCAGCCUUGGAUUUUUAAAAAGCUUUCCUCUUUUCCCUGUGCCACGACCACCUUCCAGUCUAAUUUUGGGGUACAGUAAGUCCCUGUAGUCCCCUCACCUGGAGGGGCCCCACUGGACACCCCGGCCUGGGAGCGACGAGCAGAACUGCGAGUGGUGGGGCGGUAGCCAGGUAAGCUGAGCAGGGCUGAGUUGCCAUAAUCGGGAGAACCCAGGCGAGCUAGAGACUGAGUAGAGGAGGUGGCUCGCAGGCUAGCCUGGGAAGCAGGAGCAGACCGCGUGCUAUAGAAGGAUGAGUUGGCACUGUCUGGCUCUUCCACAUCUAGCUUCUGGAAGACAGAGUGAAUCUGUUGCAGUGGGGUGGGCCCUGGCACUGUACAGAAGCCUCCCAUUCCCUCCUAAAGCCCUCAGAUCCCACGGCACAUCCAUGUGUUCCCAACUGCUUUGCAAAGGUCCUUAAAGUGUGUGUCUGCAAGAAAUGGGCCUUGUCGACAGAAGCCCUCACAAGGUGGUGCUGAUGUUGUCAAGACUCCUUUCUAUGCAUUUUUUUCAUGGAGUCUAUUCAUAAUGCUUUGAGGGAGGGAAUGCAGAGUGCUCAUCAGCCCAUUUUAGAGGUGAAGUGCAAAGAAAUAAAGUGACUAGCCCCAAAUCACACUGCUAGGAAGUAUCAGAGCUGGGGCUAGGCCCCAUGUCUCCUGACUAGUCAGGCUCAUCCCACAGGCCUCUGCUGUCCCUCAGUCCAAACUUCCAGGGCCUUUACCAUCUUCUAGAACUUCCCCAACUUCUUGGUAGCAGGGAACACCCUGCACACACAGGUCCUCCCUGCUGUACCAAGGUCCCCUCUCCCCCCCUCCCAAACCUCCCCUUCAAGAUGUGAAAACAAAGGCAAGGGCCCACAGCCUGGCAGGCAGUCCACUGGGCAGCAACAAUGCCUCUCAGCUGCAUGGGGCAUGCUGGGAGGCACAGGAUGGGCUGCAGCUUCGCCACGUUCUCUCCCUUCACCCUGCACAGGCUCAGUGCUAUGCAUGGAGAGAAUGCUAGCCUUAGUCAGGAGGUAGGGAUCUAAUCCCAGCCCUGCCUUUUUCUUCAGAAGUGCCCCUAACCAAGUCACCACCCUUUUUAAGACCUCAGCUUUCCCGCUAUAACAUGGACUGGCUGCUCAUCCCUCCCUGCUCCUGACUGAGUGCCCAAUGCAAAGACACCCUUGAAGGGAAGUGGGAAUUGCUGCCCUGCAGCCCGUCCCAGCAGCCUGACCUUGGUCAUGGUGAUGUUGAUGAUCUGCGUGGUGCGCCGACGAGCGGAGCGGGUCUUACGACCCGAGUCCAGGAAGACGUCUCCCAGGGAGUCCAGGCUGCUCUCCAGGGGGGCCUGACUCCGAGCAGGGAUGGGAGUGAAGUAGAGACUCUCCAGGGAUUCUACCUUGGGGGGCAGGCGCUGGGAGAUAGGUGAGGCUGGUUCUCCGGGGAUGCUGGUGCCGUCUGGCUGGGUAUGAGGCAGCUUGCUAUGGAAAGGAAACCUGCUGAGGUACAGUCCUUCAAGCUAGAAGGCAUUUUGUCCAGCCCUUUUCCAAACUGACCAUUUCCCAUACUUACUACAAGCAGAUGAGGUCAGGCAUCCCAUCUCUCUGAUUUUUCAGAGGUACCAAGGAAAGCCCUUGACCUGGGCCUUCCUUUCAGUCCACUCCCCUGGCUUCUCCUAUACCUCCUCAUAGUGACAAUGCCCAGACCCAGAUGUCCCAUCCCCACCAGAUGCCCAUGGCUGCUCCACAGCAAACACGUCCCAAUCUAAGCCCACUUCUCUGUUCUUCCUCCUGCAUCUCCCAUUUCAGUGAAUAGGAGCGCCCUCCACUCAGGCCCCCAAGCCAUGAACAUGGGCAUAAUCCUAUGUCGUCCUGCUUGGCAAGCCCAAUCACCAAGCUUCCUGAGCAGCUCUCCUAACCACACCUCCCUCCAUGCUCAUGUCCUUUCCCUGGUCUGCUUCAUCUCCUCUCACCUAGACUCAUCAUGGCACUGACAGAGGCAGAUGAGUGGUGACAAGCAAGGACUCAGGCCAGGCUGCCCAGGGUCAAAUCCCAGCUCUACCACUGGGGGACCUUGGGCAAGUGACUGCCCCUCUAUGCCCCAGAUUCAUCUGUUAAAGGAGACAGAAUAAACCUACCUCAGAGGGUUGUUGGGGGAUAAAUCAGGUAUAAUUGUUAUGAGUGCUUUAUGUCUAGCACAAAAUAAGUACAAUGUAAGUGUUUAAUAAAAACAAUAUAUUUUUCCAGUCUUAACUUCUA
Molecule: RNA transcript, 7174 nt
Organism: Symphalangus syndactylus (siamang)
Lineage: Eukaryota; Metazoa; Chordata; Mammalia; Primates; Hylobatidae
Gene: IL18BP
Gene name: interleukin 18 binding protein
Source: RefSeq, a predicted model, not a curated record